This 429-nucleotide ribosomal RNA is filed under the name Gemmatimonadota bacterium. Its description in RNAcentral is "Gemmatimonadetes bacterium partial 16S ribosomal RNA". It matches the Rfam family "Bacterial small subunit ribosomal RNA", at positions 355 to 776 of the family's 1533-position model. The record is from RNAcentral. Lineage: Bacteria; Pseudomonadati; Gemmatimonadota.
UAGGGAAUCUUCGGCAAUGGACGAAAGUCUGACCGAGCAACGCCGCGUGAGUGAAGAAGGUUUUCGGAUCGUAAAACUCUGUUGUUAGAGAAGAACAAGGACGUUAGUAACUGAACGUCCCCUGACGGUAUCUAACCAGAAAGCCACGGCUAACUACGUGCCAGCAGCCGCGGUAAUACGUAGGUGGCAAGCGAUGUCCGGAUUGAUUGGGCGUAAAGCGAGCGCAGGCGGUUUCUUAAGUCUGAUGUGAAAGCCCCCGGCUCAACCGGGGAGGGUCAUUGGAAACUGGGAGACUUGAGUGCAGAAGAGGAGAGUGGAAUUCCAUGUGUAGCGGUGAAAUGCGUAGAUAUAUGGAGGAACACCAGUGGCGAAGGCGGCACUCUAGUCUGUAACUGACGCUGAGGCUCGAAAGCGUGGGGAGCAAACAGG